AGCCUUCCAAUGCUUACCACAGGCUGUGUUCUUUACACUGUAUAGAAAAAGAAGGUACAGUAAAUGCACCCCAUAAACACCUCAACCCAGGCCCUUUGCCUGAUUUGUAUUGUGAAUGGGGGGACAAAA
Molecule: small nucleolar RNA, 129 nt
Organism: Suncus etruscus (white-toothed pygmy shrew)
Lineage: Eukaryota; Metazoa; Chordata; Mammalia; Eulipotyphla; Soricidae
Product: small nucleolar RNA SNORA51
Exons: 1
Source: RefSeq, a predicted model, not a curated record